Molecule: ribosomal RNA, 450 nt
Filed under: uncultured bacterium
Lineage: Bacteria
Description: bacterial SSU rRNA
Rfam family: Bacterial small subunit ribosomal RNA
Source: RNAcentral
GUAGGGAAUCUUCCACAAUGGGUGAAAACCUGAUGGAGCAAUACCGCGUGAGUGAAGAAGGUCUUCGGAUCGUAAAGCUCUGUUGUUAGAGAAGAAUAAGUCGGGUAGUAACUGCCCCGACCUUGACGGUAUCUAACCAGAAAGUCACGGCUAACUACGUGCCAGCAGCCGCGGUAAUACGUAGGUGACAAGCGUUGUCCGGAUUUAUUGGGCGUAAAGCGAGCGCAGGCGGUCUUUUAAGUCUGAUGUGAAAGCCCACGGCUCAACCGUGGAAGGUCAUUGGAAACUGGAAGACUUGAAUGCAGAAGAGGAAAGUGGAAUUCCAUGUGUAGCGGUGAAAUGCGUAGAUAUAUGGAGGAACACCAGUGGCGAAGGCGACUUUCUGGUCUGUAAUUGACGCUGAGGCUCGAAAGCGUGGGGAGCGAACAGGAUUAGAAACCCUAGUAGUCC